Molecule: transfer RNA, 84 nt
Filed under: Acidimicrobiia bacterium
Lineage: Bacteria; Bacillati; Actinomycetota; Acidimicrobiia
Also listed under: 1 other name
Description: tRNA-Leu
Rfam family: tRNA
About the family: Transfer RNA (tRNA) molecules are approximately 80 nucleotides in length. Their secondary structure includes four short double-helical elements and three loops (D, anti-codon, and T loops).
Source: RNAcentral
GCCGGGAUGGCGGAACGGUAGACGCGACGGACUCAAAAUCCGUUGGGCAUUACGCCCGUGGGGGUUCGACUCCCCCUCCCGGUA